GGAGGGGUGUCCGAGUGGCUUAAGGAGCUGGUCUUGAAAACCAGUGACCCGUUUUCGCGGGCCGUGGGUUCAAAUCCCACCCCCUCCG
This 88-nucleotide transfer RNA is filed under the name Caldisalinibacter kiritimatiensis. It matches the Rfam family "tRNA". Rfam says of the family: Transfer RNA (tRNA) molecules are approximately 80 nucleotides in length. Their secondary structure includes four short double-helical elements and three loops (D, anti-codon, and T loops). Lineage: Bacteria; Bacillati; Bacillota; Tissierellia; Tissierellales; Thermohalobacteraceae. The record is from Rfam by way of RNAcentral.